AUACCGGGCCUUUUUGGGCUUGGUAAUUGGAAUGAGGGAGAGUUAAACGGACCAUCGAGUAUCCAUUGGAGGGCAAGUCUGGUGCCAGCAGCUGCGGUAAUACCAGCUCCAAUAGCGUAUAUUAAAGUUGUUGCAGUUAAAAAGCUCGUAGUUGGACUUGUGUGCGCUGUCCGCGGGUGGCCUGCGCCCAAAAGGGCGUUUCGGUUCGGCCCCGGUGGCGCCUUGAAAUCUGCAGCUGGGGGGACGUUGGCCUUAACUGGUCGGCGACCGCACGCCGGCUGCUCGGUUACUGUGAGAAAAUUAGAGUGUUCAAGGCAGGCAUUGGGUGCAAUUGAAUACAUUAGCAUGGAAUAAUAAAAUAUGGCUCCUGCCGUAUUUUGUUGGUUUUGACUGGUGGGAGUAAUGAUUGAUAGGGACGGUUGGGGGUGCUAGUAUUGAGCGGCCAGAGGUGAAAUUCAUGGAUUCGCUCAAGACUAACUUAUGCGAAAGCAUUCACCAAGGACGUCCUCUUUAAUCAAGAACGAAAGUUGGGGGAUCGAAGACGAUCAGAUACCGUCGUAGUCUCAACCAUAAACUAUGUCACUUGGGAUCGGCGGUAGUUUUUUCAUUAAGACACUGUCGGGACCACGGGAGAAAUCAAAGUGUCUGGACUCUGGGGGAAGUAUGGUCGCAAGGCUGAAACUUGAAGGAAUUGACGGAAGGGCACCACCAGGAGUGGAGCCUGCGGCUUAAUUUGACCCAACACGGGGAAACUUACCAGGUCCAGAGAUGUAGAGGAUUGACAGAUUGAAGCUCUUUCUUGAUCACUUCGGUGGUGGUGCAUGGCCGUUCUUAGUUGGUGGAGUGAUUUGUCUGGUUAAUUCCGUUAACGAACGAGACCUCAGCCUGCUAGUGUAGUCGGCUGGAUUGCCUUUGGCGAUCCGUGAUUUCGACUUCUUAGAGGGACAAUCGACGCGCAGUCGAUGGAAGUUUGAGGCAAUAACAGGUCUGUGAUGCCCUUAGAUGUUCUGGGCCGCACGCGCGCUACACUGCUGGGCUCAGCGAGUUUUACUUGGCCGAGAGGCCCGGUUAAUCUUGUGAAAUCCCAGCGUGCUUGGGCUCGCCUCCUGCAACUGGAGGCGCCAACGAGGAAUUCCUAGUAGACGCAGGUCAUCAACCUGCAUCGAUUACGUCCCUGCCCUUUGUACACACCGCCCGUCGUUCCAUAAGAGUGAGGCAUCCGGUGAAUUCUCGGGAGAGCCUGGGCGUGGCCAGCAAUGGUCUGCUCGGGUUUGAACUUGCAUAAACUUGG
Molecule: ribosomal RNA, 1291 nt
Filed under: metagenome
Description: SSU rRNA
Rfam family: Eukaryotic small subunit ribosomal RNA
Source: RNAcentral